Molecule: long non-coding RNA, 4696 nt
Organism: Esox lucius (northern pike)
Lineage: Eukaryota; Metazoa; Chordata; Actinopteri; Esociformes; Esocidae
Source: Ensembl
AUUCGUUAAAACAAUGUAACACUCACUUCAUUCUUUUGACAAUACAAUAUCUAGGCCAAGGUUUAUGAAAAACAUUUUGUGUUGUGGUUUUUAACUGUGAGAUAAAGGGGUUUAACAACCCACAUUGUCACGUGUGAGGUUGUGGUAGGACACAGGCACAGAGUCGAUGUAGUGGAAAUAAUCCAUGUUUAAUGUAAAAGAAGGCAAAACAAAAGCAGCAACCAGUAACGUGGGCUAUCCUACACAGGGAGAAACCAAAAUGAACCACACCGGUGUGGCUAAACAAGUAACUUAAAUUGUGUCCCCAAUUGGAGGCAACGAUUAACACCUGCCACCAGUUGGGGAUACCAAAAGGAUCGGAGGUGGCUAGAGGUGCCACCUCCUGUUCUGUCCUGACUAUGCCCCGAGCCCAGCGCAGAGAUGGCUAGGGGCAUAGGCCCGUCAGGACAACAAAGCUUUUUAUGUGGUGGAACAUGGUGCAGUGAGCCCUGCUGCCUCUGCCCCAUCACCCCCAUGCUAUUUGCACUUCUGGAUUGUGGGCUGGAUUGAAACGUAUUGAAAUGUAAACAAUAGACACACAGGCUGUUCCAACUUGUGUGAAUUUCAUCACGGCAACUCAUAAUGUGACUCCAAGUCCUAUUUUGAGUCACAAAGUCCUAUUUUGUAUUUGAAAUAGGUAUUUGAAAUACAUGUAUCAAAAAUACUGCCCAUCUCUGCAUACAGCUGUUAUGCAUUAAUGUACAAUUUUCACUGAGAAUAAAUCAUAGCGAAAAAAAUAUUUUACCCACUUAUAUACAGAACAUAUUGGCUAGCACUUAAAUAAAAUCGAAUUGCGUGUUUUGUGUUUCUGUGGACUGUCACUUUAAAUAAAGCAUGUGCAUGCUGAUUAUUCAAUACUAAAUACAUCAGCAACCACAGUGUUAGUUGCAUAGAGCACCCCGUAUCCAAUUGGCCAUGUUUUCAGUGGUGUCCAGGACAUAUCAAAUGAGAUGGCCAGUGGGCUCAAGCGGUGGCAGAAAUAUUGACAAGAAGAAUGACAAUCCCUUAAGUUCUUCCUCCAUUAUUCCAUAUACAUCAGCCAUCUUAAACAUCUCAUCUGAGACAUUGGGGUGAGAGGCUGAGUCAAUGGUUGGCUGGGGACAACCCCCCUGAUCCCACCCUUGCAUGUUGAAUAUUAGCCAGGAGUAACUACGUGUUAAUUGUAGUCUUGCCUUAUUGCUAUGUGCCGUUUGCCAUAUUUAUAAACUAGACAGAAUAGCAUGGCUGCAUUGCCUCAGAAAUAUACCACAGUAAAAAUCAAUUCAAGGAUACAUAUUUGCUAUGCUGAGGGAUGUUGUGGAAAUUACCACAGAAUGGAAGAAGACAGAUCUGAGAUCAAACACAUCUUUUCCUGUGUUUCAGGGUGAACAGGAUCUAAUAGCUAGGAUCUUCUCCCUGCCCUCUCUGCUCCAGUGUUUCACCCUGGUGUCCACCUUCUCUCUUUGACAGUGUAUUUGUUAAAUGCACCCUAAUAUUGUUGGAUAAAUGCAGUGAUGAUUUUUAGAUUUUAUGCUAAUACUUUUGAUACAGUGGAUCACUCAAUUUUGUUAAGGAAAUUGUCUUCUCUGGGUCUGGUGGGUGACACUUGUUUGUGGUUUAAGAAUUAUCUUAGUGAUAGAACCCAGGCCAUUGUAAUAGAUGGUAUGAAGUCAAAUGUCUUAGUUGUGCAAAAGGGUGUUCCUCAAGGUUUGAUUUUAGGUCCUUUGUUGUUCACUCUAUACAUAAAUUAUAUUUGUGAUAAUAUGAGGGACUGUAAAUAUCAUUUCUAAGCUACUGCCCCAUCCCAUGCUCUAGCACUUGCUUAUCUCCAAUCUAAGUUAGUAUUGAAUUUGAGUAAAAUGAAUACACCCAAUACACUCUUCUCCUUGAAGUCCAGAAAUGUACCUUCCGAUGAUCUUGGAAUUACUACCCUGGAUGGCUCUGUUAUACAACAUGUUCCCUCUUACAAAUACCUGGGUAUUAGGUUGGACGAAAAUCUUUAUUUUAAAACACAUAUUGCUGACUUGGUGAAGAAGCUAAGAUUUAGGAUUGGUUUCUUUUACAGAAACAAAUAAUGUCUGUCUUACCAUCAUAGAGUUGACAUUGUUAAGGAUCAAUUUAUUACCCUAUUCUUAUUCUAUCCUUUAUUCUGUAAAUUAACUGUAAUAAAUGAACUGUUUUAGACUAGGCCUGAAAUUUAUUUAGACUGUUCAUGGUUGCCACAUUUAGAAGAAGACCUAGUUCAGCAUGCCCUGUUCUUAUAAGUGAUUAGGGCCACAUCCAAGGCGCCAGGCCUCAACCCUAUUUUAUCUACAACCCUGUUCAGUUGGCUCCAAGGUAAAGUUGCCUGUGGGUCCUCUGUAUUCUUCCGUUUGUGUAGGACACUAGGGGUGGCUCUGAUCAGGAGGUCUGGUAACUAUGACCUGGAACUAUGGUUGCCACGGCAGUAUAGGGUUCUAUCUUGUUUUCCUAUUAGUAUGACGACUUGUUUUGUAUGUAUUACAUAAUAUUUUGGGCUCUGACAGGGGGAGUAUAAAGAGCUAGAAGCCAUAAUAUGUGAUCAGAACAGAUGUUAUGACACUACUCUGUUGGUCUCUGUACUUACACUCUGUUUUGUGAAAGCAAUUGUUCCCAUGUGCACAUAAUUAAACAAUCAACUGUUAUACCAGACACUGAGAAGUUUUUACUCGUAUAAAUCGCAAACAUUUUCCACAACAUUGUAGAAGCUACUUUCAUGGCAGUACUUGACUAUGGUGAUAUACUGUAUAGAAGCUUCAGCUUCUGUGCUGGAGCCUCUUGAUGCAGUCUAUCAUGCUGUUUUGCAGUUUAUUACUGGUUCCUAAUUUAACACUCACCAUUGUCUCUUGUACACUCAAGUGUCCUGGGACUUAAUAUCCAGAAAGUCCAGACACUGGUUAAUGUUUGUUUAUAAGAUUUUAUUGCACAAAUGUCCCAGCUAUCAUACUGCUAAAAUGUAUUGCACAAUUGACGGUUAUGUGACUCGCUCCACUGAUUGGUUGGUCUUGGUGAUUCCUCGGGCUCAUUCAUAUCUAGGGAAAACUGCCAUUGAAUACAAUGCUGCUCAUUCCCGGAAUAAACUUCAAGAGAAUUUUAAACUAGAUGUCUUGGUUUCUACAAGACAUUUUAAAGCAGUGAUAACGGAUAACAUUUUUAUUUAAUGUAAAAGCUAUUAUUUGUAAAUUGUAUGUUUCUUUUAAUUACUUUUCUGUUUUUUAAGUGCUGUACACAGGGCUCAGCUGAAAAAGAGACCCUGGUCUCAGUCUGUCUCUGUAUAAAAAAAAGGAAAAGAAAAGAAAAACUGCUGAAUUUCUAGUCCUUGAUGUCAAAAAAUUAUGCUUGUCAAAAUGUGUUUCUUACCGGAAGAGUCAAUGUACGACAUGGGGAGUCACAGGUUUCAUGGACAGCAUGAUUAACCAAUGCAUCAAAACUAGCUCUCAGCUGCCACUCUCAGCGGUCACUGAGAUGCAUAGGGUGGUCUAUGUAAACUUACGUUGAAGAUUUGUUCAGUCUUGUGUGUCUUAUCAAUGCCCAUUCAAACCUUUGUCCAUAAAUGUUCAAGAACUGUGCUAAGCUAUGGAGCUUCAGGGAAAAGUGUCAACUGUCAACCUGACGACUUAAUCUGAAGUAGGAUUGCAUUCCUGGGCCUGAGACCCAGUCAGGGGCAAAUUGGCUAGGAGACACAUUGGAUCCCCUGCUGUUCAUGGCCUCAAUCACAUCCAAUUCUUCUUCCCAUUCCCUGGUUCCGCCCACUUCGGAGAAGGAGGCCUAUAUUAGUAGUGUUGCCUGUAGUUUAUUCUUUGAUGUUUGUCUUUCUUUUGAAACUACAUUCUUGUUUUCUCCUGUAUUCCCAUCACUUCCAAACAUUAGUCACAGGAGACUUAACAGUUUACCAUCCGUAACCGGUGCAAAUCCCCACAUAUUAUGCAUUAUCUUAUUCUCGCUCCUGCACAAUAUGAAUCUUACUUUUAAUCAACCUCAUCCUUUCUCAGCUACUUACACAUUAUCAAUACAUAAUUUAUUCCAUAUGACUAAAACAAUCAUUUCUAAUAGGUUCAUACUCCGUCUUUCUAGUUACGAUAGCAGUUUCUAAAAUUUUAUACUCCGUCUUUCUAGUUACGAUAGCAGUUUCUAAUAGGUUCAUACUCCGUCUUUCUAGUUACGAUAGCAGUUUAUAAUAGGUUCAUACUCUGUCUUUCUAGUUACGAUAGCAGUUUAUAAUAGGUUCAUACUCCGUCUUUCUAGUUACGAUAGCAGUUUCUAAUAGGUUCAUACUCCGUCUUUCUAGUUACGAUGGCAGUUUUUAUAAGAAAUCCCUCCACAUCCGCUAUUCUUUCUAAUCUAAAUUUCAGUAGUUCUAUAAUCAAUACACCAACAAUCACUUCUUUUAACAAGCUCAAUUCAAUAUCUGUGCAGGGUGAUUGUCUUUCCAUUAAGUGAAUUUACAGAGAAUGCAGAAUGUAUUGAAAUAAAAAAGCUGGCCUUCACUUCUUUUUAAUCAUCUGAGGUCUAGGGUUGUAAAGUGGCUUCUAAAAUGGUCAUCCUUUAUAGUAGAAGGAAAUGCUGCAGACCCUCAGCUACAUGAAGGCUGUAUUGAAUUAUUUAUUUUUUGACACUUACAUGAGUAAUAAUGUGAAAUAGUCAGAAAACGCAACUGGAC